RNAcentral lists this ribosomal RNA (367 nucleotides) under uncultured archaeon. RNAcentral's name for it is "bacterial SSU rRNA". It matches the Rfam family "Archaeal small subunit ribosomal RNA", at positions 345 to 726 of the family's 1478-position model. The record is from RNAcentral.
AACCUCCGCAAUGCGAGCAAUCGCGACGGGGGGACCCCAAGUGCCACUUUAACGGGGUGGCUUUUCUUAAGUGCUUUUGGAUAAGGGCUGGCAAGACCGGUGCCAGCCGCCGCGGUAACACCGGCAGCUCUAGUGGUAGCCAUUUUUAUUGGGCCUAAAGCGUUCGUAGCCGGUUUGAUAAGUCUCUGGUGAAAUCCUAUAGCUUAACUGUGGGAAUGCUGGAGAUACUAUCAGGCUUGAGGUCGGGAGAGGUUAGCGGUACUCCCAGGUAGGGUGAAAUCUUGUAAUCCUGUGGGGACCACCUGUGGCGAAGGCGUCUUACCAGAACGGGUUGACGGUAGGGGACGAAAGCGGGGGGCACGGAACC